This 1200-nucleotide ribosomal RNA is filed under the name Rhopalophorus sp. RDB-2000. Its description in RNAcentral is "SSU rRNA". It matches the Rfam family "Eukaryotic small subunit ribosomal RNA", at positions 633 to 1760 of the family's 1831-position model. The record is from RNAcentral. Lineage: Eukaryota; Metazoa; Arthropoda; Insecta; Hymenoptera; Braconidae.
GUUGAAUCUGUGUGCCACGCUGUCGGUUCACCGCUCGCGGUGUUUAACUGGCAUGAUUGUGGGACGUCCUACCGGUGGAUUUAGCUGUACGCAAGUAUGGCGGUCCAACUAAUAUCCCAUCGCGGUGCUCUUUACCGGGUGUCGAGGUGGGCCGGUACGUUUACUUUGAACAAAUUAGAGUGCUUAAAGCAGGCUCAUUUCGCCUGAAUAUUGUGUGCAUGGAAUAAUGGAAUAGGACCUCGGUUCUAUUUUGUUGGUUUUCGGAACUCCGAGGUAAUGAUUAAUAGGGACAGAUGGGGGCAUUCGUAUUGCGACGUUAGAGGUGAAAUUCUUGGAUCGUCGCAAGACGAACAGAAGCGAAAGCAUUUGCCAAAAAUGUUUUCAUUAAUCAAGAACGAAAGUUAGAGGUUCGAAGGCGAUCAGAUACCGCCCUAGUUCUAACCAUAAACGAUGCCAGCUAGCGAUCCGCCGAAGUUCCUCCGAUGACUCGGCGGGCAGCUUCCGGGAAACCAAAGCUUUUGGGUUCCGGGGGAAGUAUGGUUGCAAAGCUGAAACUUAAAGGAAUUGACGGAAGGGCACCACCAGGAGUGGAGCCUGCGGCUUAAUUUGACUCAACACGGGAAACCUCACCAGGCCCGGACACCGGAAGGAUUGACAGAUUGAUAGCUCUUUCUUGAUUCGGUGGGUGGUGGUGCAUGGCCGUUCUUAGUUGGUGGAGCGAUUUGUCUGGUUAAUUCCGAUAACGAACGAGACUCUAGCCUGCUAAAUAGGCGUACUUUAUGGUAUCUCGAAGGCCAUUCCGUUCUUCACGGGGCGGAUGGUUUNUACUACCGACGUACAAACAAAUCUUCUUAGAGGGACAGGCGGCUUCUAGCCGCACGAGAUUGAGCAAUAACAGGUCUGUGAUGCCCUUAGAUGUUCUGGGCCGCACGCGCGCUACACUGAAGGAAUCAGCGUGUCUUCCCUGGCCGAGAGGCCCGGGUAACCCGCUGAACCUCCUUCGUGCUAGGGAUUGGGGCUUGCAAUUAUUCCCCAUGAACGAGGAAUUCCCAGUAAGCGCGAGUCAUAAGCUCGCGUUGAUUACGUCCCUGCCCUUUGUACACACCGCCCGUCGCUACUACCGAUUGAAUGAUUUAGUGAGGUCUUCGGACUGGUGCGCGGCAAUGUUUCGGCAUUGCCGAUGUUGCUGGGAAGAUGACC